RNAcentral lists this ribosomal RNA (254 nucleotides) under uncultured bacterium. RNAcentral describes it as "partial 16S ribosomal RNA". It matches the Rfam family "Bacterial small subunit ribosomal RNA", at positions 524 to 776 of the family's 1533-position model. The record is from RNAcentral.
UACGGAGGGUGCGAGCGUUGUCCGGAAUCAUUGGGCGUAAAGGGCGCGUAGGUGGCCCGGUCAGUUCGUGGUGAAAGCGCGGGGCUCAACCCUGCGUCGGCCAUGAAUACUGCCGCGGCUGGAGCACUGUAGAGGCAGGCGGAAUUCCUGGUGUAGCGGUGAAAUGCGCAGAUAUCAGGAGGAACACCGGUGGCGAAGGCGGUUCUCUGGGCAUUCCCUGACGCUGAGGAGCGAAAGUGUGGGGAGCGAACAGG